GAACGCUGGCGGCGUGCUUAACACAUGCAAGUCGAACGAUGAAGCCCUUCGGGGUGGAUUAGUGGCGAACGGGUGAGUAACACGUGGGCAAUCUGCCCUGCACUCUGGGACAAGCCCUGGAAACGGGGUCUAAUACCGGAUACGAGCCUCCCGGGCAUCUGGGAGGUUGGAAAGCUCCGGCGGUGCAGGAUGAGCCCGCGGCCUAUCAGCUUGUUGGUGAGGUAACGGCUCACCAAGGCGACGACGGGUAGCCGGCCUGAGAGGGCGACCGGCCACACUGGGACUGAGACACGGCCCAGACUCCUACGGGAGGCAGCAGUGGGGAAUAUUGCACAAUGGGCGAAAGCCUGAUGCAGCGACGCCGCGUGAGGGAUGACGGCCUUCGGGUUGUAAACCUCUUUCAGCAGGGAAGAAGCGAAAGUGACGGUACCUGCAGAAGAAGCGCCGGCUAACUACGUGCCAGCAGCCGCGGUAAUACGUAGGGCGCAAGCGUUGUCCGGAAUUAUUGGGCGUAAAGAGCUCGUAGGCGG
This 530-nucleotide ribosomal RNA is filed under the name Streptomyces lannensis. RNAcentral's name for it is "bacterial SSU rRNA". It matches the Rfam family "Bacterial small subunit ribosomal RNA", at positions 31 to 578 of the family's 1533-position model. Lineage: Bacteria; Bacillati; Actinomycetota; Actinomycetes; Kitasatosporales; Streptomycetaceae. The record is from RNAcentral.